CCCUUAGACGUUCUGGGCCGCACGCGCGCUACACUGACAAAGGCAACGAGCUACUCUUCACCGAAAGGUGUGGGUAAUCUUUUGAAACUUUGUCGUGCUGGGGAUAGAUCCUUGCAAUUUUUGAUCUUAAACGAGGAAUUCCUAGUAAGCGCAAGUCAUCAACUUGCGUUGAUUACGUCCCUGCCCUUUGUACACACCGCCCGUCGCUACUACCGAUUGAAUGGUUUAGUGAGGCCUUCGGAUCCGCGACUCGUUUGUGGAGAAGUUGGACAAACUCAGUCAUUUAUAGGAAGUAAAAGUCGUAACA
RNAcentral lists this ribosomal RNA (307 nucleotides) under uncultured eukaryote. Its description in RNAcentral is "partial 18S ribosomal RNA". It matches the Rfam family "Eukaryotic small subunit ribosomal RNA", at positions 1470 to 1796 of the family's 1831-position model. The record is from RNAcentral.